GGACGUAAGAGCUCGUAGGUGGUUUGUCGCGUUGUUCGUGAAAACUCACAGCUCAACUGUGGGCGUGCGGGCGAUACGGGCAGACUAGAGUACUGCAGGGGAGACUGGAAUUCCUGGUGUAGCGGUGGAAUGCGCAGAUAUCAGGAGGAACACCGGUGGCGAAGGCGGGUCUCUGGGCAGUAACUGACGCUGAGGAGCGAAAGCGUGGGGAGCGAACAGGAUUAGAUACCCUGGUAGUCCACGCCGUAAACGGUGGGUACUAGGUGUGGGUUUCCUUCCUUGGGAUCCGUGCCGUAGCUAACGCAUUAAGUACCCCGCCUGGGGAGUACGGCCGCAAGGCUAAAACUCAAAGAAAUUGACGGGGGCCCGCACAAGCGGCGGAGCAUGUGGAUUAAUUCGAUGCAACGCGAAGAACCUUACCUGGGUUUGACAUGCACAGGACGUGCCUAGAGAUAGGUAUUCCCUUGUGGUCUGUGUGCAGGUGGUGCAUGGCUGUCGUCAGCUCGUGUCGUGAGAUGUUGGGUUAAGUCCCGCAACGAGCGCAACCCUUGUCUCAUGUUGCCAGCACGUAAUGGUGGGGACUCGUGAGAGACUGCCGGGGUCAACUCGGAGGAAGGUGGGGAUGACGUCAAGUCAUCAUGCCCCUUAUGUCCAGGGCUUCACACAUGCUACAAUGGCCGGUACAAAGGGCUGCGAUGCCGUGAGGUGGAGCGAAUCCUUUAAAGCCGGUCUCAGUUCGGAUCGGGGUCUGCAACUCGACCCCGUGAAGUCGGAGUCGCUAGUAAUCGCAGAUCAGCAACGCUGCGGUGAAUACGUUCCCGGGCCUUGUACUCACCGCCCGUC
This 843-nucleotide ribosomal RNA is filed under the name uncultured bacterium. Its description in RNAcentral is "bacterial SSU rRNA". It matches the Rfam family "Bacterial small subunit ribosomal RNA", at positions 556 to 1398 of the family's 1533-position model. The record is from RNAcentral.